Molecule: ribosomal RNA, 425 nt
Filed under: uncultured bacterium
Lineage: Bacteria
Description: partial 16S ribosomal RNA
Rfam family: Bacterial small subunit ribosomal RNA
Source: RNAcentral
GUGGGGAAUAUUGGACAAUGGGCGAAAGCCUGAUCCAGCCAUGCCGCGUGAGUGAUGAAGGCCUUAGGGUUGUAAAGCUCUUUUGUCCGGGAAGAUAAUGACUGUACCGGAAGAAUAAGCCCCGGCUAACUUCGUGCCAGCAGCCGCGGUAAUACGAAGGGGGCUAGCGUUGCUCGGAAUCACUGGGCGUAAAGGGCGCGUAGGCGGACUUUUAAGUCGGAGGUGAAAGCCCAGGGCUCAACCCUGGAAUUGCCUUCGAUACUGGGAGUCUUGAGUUCGGAAGAGGUUGGUGGAACUGCGAGUGUAGAGGUGAAAUUCGUAGAUAUUCGCAAGAACACCGGUGGCGAAGGUGGCCAACUGGUCCGAAACUGACGCUGAGGCGCGAAAGCGUGGGGAGCAAACAGGAUUAGAUACCCUUGUAGUCC